CAGUAGCCACGGUAAUACAGAGGAUGCAAGCGUUAAUCGGAUUUACUGGGUUUAAAGGGUGCGUAGGUGGCCUGUUAAGUCAGGGGUGAAAGACGGUAGCUUAACUAUCGCAGUGCCCUUGAUACUGAUGGGCUUGAAUGAACUAGAGGUAGGCGGAAUGUGACAAGUAGCGGUGAAAUGCAUAGAUAUGUCACAGAACACCAAUUGCGAAGGCAGCUUACUAUGGUUUUAUUGACACUGAGGCACGAAAGCGUGGGGAUCAAACAGGAUUAGAUACCCCUGUAGUCCCUGUCUCUUAUAC
RNAcentral lists this ribosomal RNA (301 nucleotides) under uncultured bacterium. RNAcentral's name for it is "partial 16S ribosomal RNA". It matches the Rfam family "Bacterial small subunit ribosomal RNA", at positions 509 to 807 of the family's 1533-position model. The record is from RNAcentral.